RNAcentral lists this transfer RNA (85 nucleotides) under Felis catus (domestic cat). It matches the Rfam family "tRNA". From Rfam's summary of the family: Transfer RNA (tRNA) molecules are approximately 80 nucleotides in length. Lineage: Eukaryota; Metazoa; Chordata; Mammalia; Carnivora; Felidae. RNAcentral also lists the same sequence under 2 other names. The record is from Rfam by way of RNAcentral.
GCCUGGGUGGCUCAGUCGGUUGAGCAUCUGACUUCAGCUCAGGUCAUGAUCUCGUCAUUUGUGGGUUCAAGCCCCGCAUCGGACU